GGCAGUUCAGGGGUAUUCUGGUUGCCUUACCCAGCUCUGAAGUCUGUCAGCCUCUUCAGAUGUCACUUGCCAUGUGGUAAGGAAGUGUAGUCAGCAGCUGGUGCAGUGGGAAGAAGAGAAAGGAAGUUCCCCAAGACAAAAACAUCUCGGCAGACCGUGAUCAUGGGCUACAUUCUCCGUACCAGCUUCAUAGCUCCAGUGAGAAAAUAAAUUCCUGCAUCCAGGAGAUGUGGAGUAAGAGAUACAGCUGCCCUUGACCAUAUUUCUUACUUCCGAGAAGAUCGUAGCAGUAAUUCAGAAUCUCAUCCAGGAUACCUCAUCACAGGCUGGAGUGCAGUGUCAUGAGCUUGGCUCACUACAGCCUCCAUCUUCUGUGCUUAAGGAUCCUUCCCUCUCAACCUCCAAGGUAGCUGAGACUACAGGCAACAUUCGAAACCCAGGUGCCACUCCUUCAGGAAGGUACCAUCAAGCUCCAAGGACUCAUCCUCUUUCUCCUUCCCCACUACCUAGUCAUUAGAGCGUCAGCAUCCACUUCCUGAAAGGAAGAUGCCUGUUUUUCACAUAUCCCAGAAAGCCUCAUUUUAGGACAGCAUUUAGCAGAGUGUAUUCAGGAUCCCACUAACCUUUUCGGAAGACAUGACUUCCAGAUGAUAUAAGGCUCCAUCAGGAACUGUGCAGGACUGUGCACUCUGUUGAUACUCACAUGGUGGAAUUAUAUUGCCCUUGGCCAACCCUAAAGCCAUCAAGAUAGCAGAAUUAAUGAAGGAUCAUUAUUAAGUUUUUAAUGGGUCAAGAGAAAGUUACCACUGAGGUCUUCUCUACCUGGGCAACAAUUGACUCCUAACAACCACUAUAAGCUUGGAAGAUGAUCCCUCCCCAGCUGAUCCUUCAGGUCUCUACUUUUUGUAGCCUGGGGAUUUUCUACUCCCCCAACAGCCAGAUGAGGCAGAAACCCCUACAGACAUCCCUAUGUGCCUCCUGUGCAAGUGCAGUUGCCCCUUGAAGGCAGUUCUCCUGCUGCAGACCACGCCCACCAAGGGCAGAGUCACAGCCACUGCAGCUGAGCUCAGAGCCUUCUGUGGGGUCUGCAGGGGCAAGGCCAGCUGUCCCCUGGGAUAGUUUGAAGAAUGCAGUUUGUUUGUAUAAUAAAGAUGUUUCUCUACGUCAUUCA
This 1171-nucleotide long non-coding RNA is filed under the name Homo sapiens (human). RNAcentral describes it as "Prader-Willi region non-protein coding RNA 1". The record is from RNAcentral. Lineage: Eukaryota; Metazoa; Chordata; Mammalia; Primates; Hominidae.